This 484-nucleotide ribosomal RNA is filed under the name uncultured bacterium. RNAcentral describes it as "partial 16S ribosomal RNA". It matches the Rfam family "Bacterial small subunit ribosomal RNA", at positions 30 to 507 of the family's 1533-position model. The record is from RNAcentral.
AUUGAACGCUGGCGGCAGGCCUAACACAUGCAAGUCGAGCGGAUGAAGGGAGCUUGCUCCUGGAUUCAGCGGCGGACGGGUGAGUAAUGCCUAGGAAUCUGCCUGGUAGUGGGGGAUAACGUCCGGAAACGGGCGCUAAUACCGCAUACGUCCUGAGGGAGAAAGUGGGGGAUCUUCGGACCUCACGCUAUCAGAUGAGCCUAGGUCGGAUUAGCUAGUUGGUGGGGUAAAGGCCUACCAAGGCGACGAUCCGUAACUGGUCUGAGAGGAUGAUCAGUCGCACUGGAACUGAGACACGGUCCAGACUCCUACGGGAGGCAGCAGUGGGGAAUAUUGGACAAAGGGCGAAAGCCUGAUCCAGACAUGCCGCGUGUGUGAAGAAGGUCUUCGGAUUGUAAAGCACUUUAAGUUGGGAGGAAGGGCAGUAAGUUAAUACCUUGCUGUUUUGACGUUACCAACAGAAUAAGCACCGGCUAACUUCGUG